Molecule: long non-coding RNA, 753 nt
Filed under: Carica papaya (papaya)
Lineage: Eukaryota; Viridiplantae; Streptophyta; Magnoliopsida; Brassicales; Caricaceae
Description: long non-coding RNA (CPAP_LNC013801)
Source: RNAcentral
UUUGGGUUUUCUGAAACCUGCUUAGAAACUGGCCUGUCGUAAUCCCUAUCUGUUGGGGACCCCUAACACACUAAAUAGGCACUGUUUCCUCUGUAAGUGCAAAUGACAAAUAAUAAUUAUGUGAUGGAUUUCAUGGUAGCUUUAAUUAGUGAAAGAUAUAUCUUAUAAGGCAUUCAUACAAAAAGUUGAUUCAUAAGUUUGCUAGGAUUUACAGUCGUGUUCUUUUCCUUUUUUCUCGAAAAAAAAAAAUUGCAAUAGUAGUUGUUAAUGUUGUGCCAGUCCUGGUGGGUAGGCAUCCACCUCUAGCACAAAACAAGUAGGGGAACCCCUUUGGUGUACAUUGUGUUUGAUGUUGAUUAUUUUAUUUUACAUUUUUUUCCCUUUUUAGUAUUACUUUGCAAUUUGAAGGAGUUGGCCUAGGAAGUCUAUAAAUUGUAGAAUGAAGACCAUAAUUUUUCUGAUAGUUCUUAUGGAAAAAAUGUAUUGGUCAUUUUGGGUUAGCAUGAACUAAAGUAAAUAUUUUAAUUUUUAGCUGUCUUUGUUGUGUUUUAGCACAAUCAUCAUCUAACGAAGACUGUAUUACACUUUUAUGUCUGUACAGCAUAUAUACAUAUGAUUUAGUGGACAUACUUCGAUGUGCUUUCAGACUUGAGAAAAUCAUAGCUUUUACCUUUUUUCACUUCUCCCAUGUUAUCAAUAUAUCAUCUCCAAUGAAAUCAUCCUGUAACUUUUACCCCGGAUAUAUUCUCUGCU